This 400-nucleotide ribosomal RNA is filed under the name uncultured bacterium. Its description in RNAcentral is "bacterial SSU rRNA". It matches the Rfam family "Bacterial small subunit ribosomal RNA", at positions 356 to 773 of the family's 1533-position model. The record is from RNAcentral.
AAGGAAUAUUGGACAAUGGGGGCAACCCUGAUCCAGCCAUGCCGCGUGUGUGAUGAAGGCCUUAGGGUUGUAAAGCACUUUCAAUUGUGAAGAUAAUGACGGUAGCAAUAGAAGAAGCUCCGGCUAAAUUCGUGCCAGCAGCCGCGGUAAUACGAAUGGAGCAAGCGUUGUUCGGAAUCACUGGGCUUAAAGCGUGCGCAGGCGGUCUUGCAAGUCAGAAGUGAAAGCCUGGGGCUCAACCCCAGAAUUGCUUUUGAAACUGCAAGACUAGAAUAUUGGAGAGGUCGGGAGAAUUCCUAGUGUAGAGGUGAAAUUCGCAGAUAUUAGGAGGAAUACCAGUGGCGUAGGCGCCCGACUGGACGAUUAUUGACGCUCAGGCACGAAAGCGUGGGGAGCAAAC